GUGGCAGUGCCAAGUUUUACUUGUGUAUUUUGAUAGUGUAUUAAAUAGGAGUAGCUCCCCUUAGAAAAAGAAAAUCAUUUUAGUUGAAGUUUAGAUGUCCCCCCCCCCCUUUGUUGGUAGUGUGCCCCCCUGUUUGUUUACUUAAGCCCACAUGUUCCCCCUAUAAAAGCUGCCACAUGGUCAAGUCACAUUUCAGUUCAGCCAGCAGACCAGCAGACAAUAAACAUACAUGCAUAUAUUUUCCUCCUAACUGGAGUGCCCGUUCUGCUUGAGGUUAGUCUGUUGCCGAGUCAUUUGCUUUGACUUUAUUCCUGCUUGAGUGUUCUUUAAAAGAUCCACUAUUCACACUGUGUUGGUUUUAGAUUUUAGGGUUUAAGUCUCAAUUUCUUGAUUUUUUUGGUUUAAGUCUUUGGAUUAUAGGUUUAUUCUUUGCUUUUAGUUACUGGUUUAUGGUUUAAGGUUCGUGUAAAUAAAUUCUUUUUUGGUCUUUUUUUGUUCGAAAUCUAGAA
Long non-coding RNA from Patiria miniata (bat star), 509 nucleotides. RefSeq lists it as uncharacterized. The record is from RefSeq and is a predicted model, not a curated record. The transcript has 2 exons. NCBI's taxonomy places the organism in Eukaryota, Metazoa, Echinodermata, Asteroidea, Valvatida, Asterinidae.